GAGUUUGAUCAUGGCUCAGGAUGAACGCUGGCGGCGUGCCUAACACAUGCAAGUCGAACGGAGUUUAUGAGGAAGAAGCUUCGGCGGAAUUCUUAUAAACUUAGUGGCGGACGGGUGAGUAACACGUGGAGAACCUGCCUCUUACCGGGGGACAGCAGUUGGAAACGACUGAUAAUACCGCAUAAGCGCACGAGACCGCAUGGUCCUGUGUGAAAAGAUUUAUCGGUGAGAGAUGGCUCCGCGUCUGAUUAGCCAGUUGGCGGGGUAACGGCCCGACCAAAGCGACGAUCAGUAGCCGGCCUGAGAGGGUGAACGGCCACAUUGGGACUGAGACACGGCCCAGACUCCUACGGGAGGCAGC
This 361-nucleotide ribosomal RNA is filed under the name uncultured microorganism. Its description in RNAcentral is "bacterial SSU rRNA". It matches the Rfam family "Bacterial small subunit ribosomal RNA", at positions 9 to 352 of the family's 1533-position model. The record is from RNAcentral.